GGAUAUAGCUCAGUUGGUAGAGUACUUGCUUUGCAUGCACAAGGACCUGGGUUCAAUCCCCAGCAUCACA
RNAcentral lists this transfer RNA (70 nucleotides) under Marmota monax (woodchuck). RNAcentral's name for it is "tRNA.Ala". It matches the Rfam family "tRNA". Rfam says of the family: Transfer RNA (tRNA) molecules are approximately 80 nucleotides in length. Their secondary structure includes four short double-helical elements and three loops (D, anti-codon, and T loops). The record is from RNAcentral. Lineage: Eukaryota; Metazoa; Chordata; Mammalia; Rodentia; Sciuridae.